This 1139-nucleotide long non-coding RNA is filed under the name Urocitellus parryii (Arctic ground squirrel). RNAcentral describes it as "lncRNA (ENSUPAG00010011168.1)". Lineage: Eukaryota; Metazoa; Chordata; Mammalia; Rodentia; Sciuridae. The record is from RNAcentral.
CUUAAACAUCUUCACAGAAAAAAAUCUUACUUAAAUACAAUCGUAUUCUCUUCCCUUUCUCACAGCUGCUUAUUUCAUGUAGUUUUAAUUAGCGUGCACAAUUUAUUUUGCAUUUUAAAAUUUUAUUUCCCAGUACACAUUUUCAUGCACGUGCCAAAAAUUUCACAGGUUCCUCACAGUCUGCAUACCUGCCAGGAUUCUUUCUGUUAAUGUGACAGAGCUUGAUUGGAUCAUUCAGUCGCUGGACAGUUGGGUCCCUUCCCAGGUCUUGGUCAUUACGAACGUUCUGAAUAACCCUGCUGUAAACAUUUUAUGCAAGCGCUCCCCCACUUCCCCCUUUGGGUCAUUUCCUUAGAAAUGUACUUCCUUAAAUGGGUUUACUGGGUCAAAGGGGCUCUAUGAACAGUUUUAUAGCUGUUGGCACAUAUUGUUCAGAUUGCGCCCUGGGAGAGUGGACCAAUGGCACCGGCCGCGAGCCGCCAGGAAUGCGCAGGAGCGGUCCCUAUAGCCUCCCCUCUCUCGCCUCCCCGCAAAAAAGGCCGCGGGUGGAAAGUGUUUUGCAGUCGCUCUCCCGUUCUCUCGACGUGGCUGGCGAAGCCCGGCCGUCAGGGAGGUGCGGGAAGGCUCCGCGAGCCCAGGCUUUCUGCCCCGGGGGCGGAAGCAACUCUUCCCGGCCCUCGCGCCCCAGGACUCGGAUUCCAGCCGCCUCCGCUCUUUCCGAAUUCCGGGCUCCAGCGCGCGGCGCCCCCGCCCGCCCGCGGCCUGGGAGCCGAGCUCGGCGGUCGAGGCCGCGACCCGCGCGCGCUGUUAUUUUGGCGCGGGCGAUGCAGGGCCCGCAUAGCUGCGCGCUGAGUCAGCGGGGCCCGGGGACCCGCGAUGGGCCCCUCCCGGCGGCGCAGGGACAGGGACAGGGCGGUGGGGCGGGGGCUCCGCCACCGAGGCCUCAGGGUCGGCCCGCCUGGAGGGGAGCCCCAGACAGCAGUCCCACCCCCGGCUCGGCGGUGACCGCGCGCCGGCCAUUGAGAACCCCCAAAAAGGCGGAGGAGGGAGGCGCAAAAGAGAAGCGAAGCCGCUCGCGCAGGCAGGAGGGAAGAAAAGGCAGAGCGGGCGGCGAGCACGGGCCGGCCGGCCGGCCGGCG